CCAGUACGCGUGAAGGAUGAAGGUUCUAUGGAUUGUAAACUUCUUUUAUAUGGGAAUAAAACCACUUACGUGUAGGUGUCUGUAUGUACCAUAUGAAUAAGGACCGGCUAACUCCGUGCCAGCAGCCGCGGUAAUACGGAGGGUCCGAGCGUUAUCCGGAUUUAUUGGGUUUAAAGGGAGCGUAGAUGGGUUUUUAAGUCAGUUGUGAAAGUUUGCGGCUCAACCGUAAAAUUGCAGUUGAUACUAAAGACCUUGAGUAUAGUUGAGGUGGGCGGAAUUCGUGGUGUAGCGGUGAAAUGCUUAGAUAUCACGAAGAACUCCGAUUGCGAAGGCAGCUCACUAAGCUAUAACUGACAUUGAGGCUCGAAAGUGUGGGUAUCAAACAGGAUUAGAUACCCUGGUAGUCCACACGGUAAACGAUGAAUACUCGCUGUAGGCGAUACACAGUCUGCGGCCAAUCGAAAGCAUUAAGUAUUCCACCUGGGGAGUACGCCGGCAACGGUGAAACUCACAGAAAUUGA
This 521-nucleotide ribosomal RNA is filed under the name uncultured Bacteroidota bacterium. RNAcentral describes it as "bacterial SSU rRNA". It matches the Rfam family "Bacterial small subunit ribosomal RNA", at positions 392 to 913 of the family's 1533-position model. The record is from RNAcentral. Lineage: Bacteria; Pseudomonadati; Bacteroidota.